RNAcentral lists this long non-coding RNA (814 nucleotides) under Malus domestica (apple). Its description in RNAcentral is "long non-coding RNA (MDOM_LNC004322)". The record is from RNAcentral. Lineage: Eukaryota; Viridiplantae; Streptophyta; Magnoliopsida; Rosales; Rosaceae.
AAUAAUUGUUUGGUUUAAUAAAUAAAUAAAUAAUAUGUAUUUAAAUAGACUACAUUUUAAAAAAUUAAAUAAAUAAUUGUUUGAUUAAUAGAUAAUAAUCCAUGUAAAAUAUGCAAUAAAGAAACAAAAAGAUAAUUGUACAAUGAAAAUGUCAUCACACAAACUAAAUAUUGUCUAAUCAAUACUUUAAAAACAUAAAUAAAAAUUUAGCACAAAUUACUUUUCCCACUUAAAAAUUUAGGCAAAUUUAAUGGAAAUAUGCAUUCUAUGAAACUAGUUUCAAUGAUCUAACCAUCAAACUUGUUUAUAGAUACUACAAGAUCGCAUACGCAAAAAAUCGCAAAAAAAUAAUUCAGAGAUUAGGUAACGAAAAAAAAGUUUUCGACAUUUAUAAACGAAAAAUCACCAUUUAACGGUUAUUUUAGCUCUGAUUUUAAUGAUUUUUCACAGCUACACUCCUCAACCCUAUAAGAAUGCAUUGAACAAAUUCAAUCUUCAAUUAAAAAUAUUUACACUAGUAGAUACCACAAAAUAUUAUUUUAUACUUGAUGGAAGUAUAAUAUUAACUCUAAGUGUUUGUUUAAUCUACCGUUUUGACGCGAUAUGCAUUCUACGAAACUAGUUUCAACUAGGGCUGGAAAAAAAUCCCAAAAAUACCAAACCAAACCGAAAUUUUCCCGAAACUGAACCGAAAUAUUCCCAAACCGAAAAAUUCCCGAAAUUUCGGUACGGGAAUCGGUCUCACGUUUUUGGGAUUUCGGUAUUCCCAAACCGAACUGAAAAAUAUACAUAUAUAUUAUUUAAUUUUUAAAUA